Molecule: long non-coding RNA, 735 nt
Organism: Anguilla anguilla (European eel)
Lineage: Eukaryota; Metazoa; Chordata; Actinopteri; Anguilliformes; Anguillidae
Exons: 3
Source: RefSeq, a predicted model, not a curated record
ACACACACACCCACAACCAUAGACAAAGAGACUAGUUCCUCUUAUCUUAAGGCCAUGAUACACGGGCAACUUUUUUGGGCAAUAUUGCCAGCAAUAUUGCUGACAACGAUUGCCGGCAAUAUUUUCUAUUGAAAAGUUUUCAUUAUCUGGGAAAUUAGAUCGAUGGGGCAACACAGUAGGCAACUUUUCGGGAUCCUCCAAUCAGAAUACAGAUUUUAGUCAUGUGACUACUUCUCUUGGCUGAAGAAAAUCGACGAAGAUGGCGGCCAAUCUUGCCUGGAGCGAAGAAAUGGAGAGGCAACUGAUUUCAUUUUUCUCAGAACACCCGUGCCUUUGGAAAGUGAAGCUUGAGGUCUACAAAGACAAAGACAGGAGGGACAGAUGUAUGGAGGCCUUGCGCAACCAACUAAAUUCUGCACAGACAGAAGUUGUUGUCACAGUCGAUAUCAUUUAAAAAAAAUUCAAAAACAUGCGGACAACCUUUCAGCGGGAAAAUAAAGCAGCAUCCAGUAAGCGGUCAGGCGAUGGAGCAGAUGACGUUUACAUUCCAAGAUGGAAAUACUAUAAAGACCUGCAUUUCUUGAAAGAAGGAGGAGAACCCAAUGAGACCGAAGAUAUCCCAUCCCAAUCCCAACCCAUCCAAAUUGAAACCGCAACUCCACCCAUCCAAAUUGAAACCGCAACUCCACCCAUCCAAAUUGAAACCGCAACUCCAGACAAGACCACUUCCAAAAA